RNAcentral lists this ribosomal RNA (253 nucleotides) under uncultured bacterium. RNAcentral's name for it is "partial 16S ribosomal RNA". It matches the Rfam family "Bacterial small subunit ribosomal RNA", at positions 524 to 776 of the family's 1533-position model. The record is from RNAcentral.
GACGAACCGUGCGAACGUUGUUCGGAAUCAUUGGGCUUAAAGGGCGCGUAGGCGGGCAUGCAAGUCAGGGGUGAAAGCCCACGGCUCAACCGUGGAAGUGCCUUUGAUACUGCGUGUCUUGAGCGAGGUAGGGGCGUGCGGAACUUCCGGUGGAGCGGUGAAAUGCGUAGAUAUCGGAAGGAACACCGGUGGCGAAAGCGGCGCGCUGGACCUCUUCUGACGCUGAGGCGCGAAAGCCAGGGGAGCAAACGGG